Molecule: long non-coding RNA, 359 nt
Filed under: Marmota monax (woodchuck)
Lineage: Eukaryota; Metazoa; Chordata; Mammalia; Rodentia; Sciuridae
Source: RNAcentral
CAUGCUGGAGGGGACACAGAGAAGAGAGAAUGCAGAUCCGGGCGGUUUCCUUGAAGCUCCCAUUACCAGCCCUGGAAAAGUUGUGCAGGAAUAAGUAAGGACAGCAAGGACCCGAACUGGCCUUGAUGUGAGUGGCCGAGGUGAGUGGCAGAGCAGUCCCGUGUACCCCAGUCUUCUAGCACCAGCUCUAGCUUCUGCCAACACACCGUACUGCCUUCUCUUUCUCCAGGUAUAAAGAAACACCUAGAAGACCUGCAAACGCCAAGGCUUCCCACAGCUACAAAGAAAAGUCCAAGCAAAUCUUGCUUCUGAACUGAGAUGGAUGGAAAAGCCCCAAGGAAGCCUAGAGAACAAAAGGU